RNAcentral lists this ribosomal RNA (2895 nucleotides) under Escherichia coli. RNAcentral's name for it is "bacterial LSU rRNA". It matches the Rfam family "Bacterial large subunit ribosomal RNA". The record is from RNAcentral. Lineage: Bacteria; Pseudomonadati; Pseudomonadota; Gammaproteobacteria; Enterobacterales; Enterobacteriaceae.
ACUAAGCGUACACGGUGGAUGCCCUGGCAGUCAGAGGCGAUGAAGGACGUGCUAAUCUGCGAUAAGCGUCGGUAAGGUGAUAUGAACCGUUAUAACCGGCGAUUUCCGAAUGGGGAAACCCAGUGUGAUUCGUCACACUAUCAUUAACUGAAUCCAUAGGUUAAUGAGGCGAACCGGGGGAACUGAAACAUCUAAGUACCCCGAGGAAAAGAAAUCAACCGAGAUUCCCCCAGUAGCGGCGAGCGAACGGGGAGCAGCCCAGAGCCUGAAUCAGUGUGUGUGUUAGUGGAAGCGUCUGGAAAGGCGCGCGAUACAGGGUGACAGCCCCGUACACAAAAAUGCACAUACUGUGAGCUCGAUGAGUAGGGCGGGACACGUGGUAUCCUGUCUGAAUAUGGGGGGACCAUCCUCCAAGGCUAAAUACUCCUGACUGACCGAUAGUGAACCAGUACCGUGAGGGAAAGGCGAAAAGAACCCCGGCGAGGGGAGUGAAAAAGAACCUGAAACCGUGUACGUACAAGCAGUGGGAGCACAGAGCAAUCUGUGUGACUGCGUACCUUUUGUAUAAUGGGUCAGCGACUUAUAUUCUGUAGCAAGGUUAACCGAAUAGGGGAGCCGAAGGGAAACCGAGUCUUAACUGGGCGUUAAGUUGCAGGGUAUAGACCCGAAACCCGGUGAUCUAGCCAUGGGCAGGUUGAAGGUUGGGUAACACUAACUGGAGGACCGAACCGACUAAUGUUGAAAAAUUAGCGGAUGACUUGUGGCUGGGGGUGAAAGGCCAAUCAAACCGGGAGAUAGCUGGUUCUCCCCGAAAGCUAUUUAGGUAGCGCCUCGUGAAUUCAUCUCCGGGGGUAGAGCACUGUUUCGGCAAGGGGGUCAUCCCGACUUACCAACCCGAUGCAAACUGCGAAUACCGGAGAAUGUUAUCACGGGAGACACACGGCGGGUGCUAACGUCCGUCGUGAAGAGGGAAACAACCCAGACCGCCAGCUAAGGUCCCAAAGUCAUGGUUAAGUGGGAAACGAUGUGGGAAGGCCCAGACAGCCAGGAUGUUGGCUUAGAAGCAGCCAUCAUUUAAAGAAAGCGUAAUAGCUCACUGGUCGAGUCGGCCUGCGCGGAAGAUGUAACGGGGCUAAACCAUGCACCGAAGCUGCGGCAGCGACGCUGAUGCGUUGUUGGGUAGGGGAGCGUUCUGUAAGCCUGUGAAGGUGUACUGUGAGGUAUGCUGGAGGUAUCAGAAGUGCGAAUGCUGACAUAAGUAACGAUAAAGCGGGUGAAAAGCCCGCUCGCCGGAAGACCAAGGGUUCCUGUCCAACGUUAAUCGGGGCAGGGUGAGUCGACCCCUAAGGCGAGGCCGAAAGGCGUAGUCGAUGGGAAACAGGUUAAUAUUCCUGUACUUGGUGUUACUGCGAAGGGGGGACGGAGAAGGCUAUGUUGGCCGGGCGACGGUUGUCCCGGUUUAAGCGUGUAGGCUGGUUUUCCAGGCAAAUCCGGAAAAUCAAGGCUGAGGCGUGAUGACGAGGCACUACGGUGCUGAAGCAACAAAUGCCCUGCUUCCAGGAAAAGCCUCUAAGCAUCAGGUAACAUCAAAUCGUACCCCAAACCGACACAGGUGGUCAGGUAGAGAAUACCAAGGCGCUUGAGAGAACUCGGGUGAAGGAACUAGGCAAAAUGGUGCCGUAACUUCGGGAGAAGGCACGCUGAUAUGUAGGUGAAGUCCCUCGCGGAUGGAGCUGAAAUCAGUCGAAGAUACCAGCUGGCUGCAACUGUUUAUUAAAAACACAGCACUGUGCAAACACGAAAGUGGACGUAUACGGUGUGACGCCUGCCCGGUGCCGGAAGGUUAAUUGAUGGGGUCAGCGCAAGCGAAGCUCUUGAUCGAAGCCCCGGUAAACGGCGGCCGUAACUAUAACGGUCCUAAGGUAGCGAAAUUCCUUGUCGGGUAAGUUCCGACCUGCACGAAUGGCGUAAUGAUGGCCAGGCUGUCUCCACCCGAGACUCAGUGAAAUUGAACUCGCUGUGAAGAUGCAGUGUACCCGCGGCAAGACGGAAAGACCCCGUGAACCUUUACUAUAGCUUGACACUGAACAUUGAGCCUUGAUGUGUAGGAUAGGUGGGAGGCUUUGAAGUGUGGACGCCAGUCUGCAUGGAGCCGACCUUGAAAUACCACCCUUUAAUGUUUGAUGUUCUAACGUUGACCCGUAAUCCGGGUUGCGGACAGUGUCUGGUGGGUAGUUUGACUGGGGCGGUCUCCUCCUAAAGAGUAACGGAGGAGCACGAAGGUUGGCUAAUCCUGGUCGGACAUCAGGAGGUUAGUGCAAUGGCAUAAGCCAGCUUGACUGCGAGCGUGACGGCGCGAGCAGGUGCGAAAGCAGGUCAUAGUGAUCCGGUGGUUCUGAAUGGAAGGGCCAUCGCUCAACGGAUAAAAGGUACUCCGGGGAUAACAGGCUGAUACCGCCCAAGAGUUCAUAUCGACGGCGGUGUUUGGCACCUCGAUGUCGGCUCAUCACAUCCUGGGGCUGAAGUAGGUCCCAAGGGUAUGGCUGUUCGCCAUUUAAAGUGGUACGCGAGCUGGGUUUAGAACGUCGUGAGACAGUUCGGUCCCUAUCUGCCGUGGGCGCUGGAGAACUGAGGGGGGCUGCUCCUAGUACGAGAGGACCGGAGUGGACGCAUCACUGGUGUUCGGGUUGUCAUGCCAAUGGCACUGCCCGGUAGCUAAAUGCGGAAGAGAUAAGUGCUGAAAGCAUCUAAGCACGAAACUUGCCCCGAGAUGAGUUCUCCCUGACUCCUUGAGAGUCCUGAAGGAACGUUGAAGACGACGACGUUGAUAGGCCGGGUGUGUAAGCGCAGCGAUGCGUUGAGCUAACCGGUACUAAUGAACCGUGAGGCUUAACC